CAGUUUGAAACCGUGUGGCGCUGAAGUCGCCACGGCUACUUUUUAGUCCGUGUCUUUGACGAAAUAGACUUUUUUAACGGGGGAAUUACGGACAAUAUUAUAUCAUAUCAUGUCGUGCAGUAAAUCUUUGAAGGCUACAGAUCUCCAUUCGUCCUGGAAAGUCGAGUUUGACUGGAAGGAUUUUCCGGAAGAACUUGUUCAGGGAUGUUGUGCUGUUGCAUCUGUUUUGUGCGUGCCAACGGUGGCUGUUUUAUAUAGCCUUAUCACGGUCGCGGCUUUUGCUGUAAGCCAUGCACAAGUCUCUCCACCUGACACCAAAUGGAGGGAAAAUGUUCUUCUGUGGACAGCCAUCUGUCUGCCAACAGGCGCUGGGAAAUCUACUAUCUGUAAAUGGAUUCAAGAACUUGUGAC
Molecule: long non-coding RNA, 411 nt
Organism: Branchiostoma floridae (Florida lancelet)
Lineage: Eukaryota; Metazoa; Chordata; Leptocardii; Amphioxiformes; Branchiostomatidae
Exons: 3
Source: RefSeq, a predicted model, not a curated record